GUGGGGAUCUUGGCUUGCGGAAUUUGGCUGCUUUGGGGAUUUCUUCUUACAGCUCCUUUCCUUAUUUUUGUAUUAUUUCGCUUUUAUUUUUUAUUCCCUCCUUUUGAGUUUUGUGAAGGGGUUUGUUAUUUAUGGGUAGCGUGAAGAAUUGUGUUGUGAAAAGAAUUUGUCAGCCACUGGGAGAUAUGGUAGGACACAGCUGGAGGACUUAGCAGCUUCUUCUUCUUCUUCUGUGUCUUCGCACCAUAACAUUCUACCGUAUCCUUCACGCCGCCGACAACCCAAGCUCGUGCCACCCCUGAAAUGAGAGUGAAUCUUGGAACCAGAAAUGGAAGGACCAAUUUGUCAGCCACUGGGGAGAUAUGGUAGGACACAGCUGGAGGACUUAGCAGCUUCUUCUUCUUCUUCUGUGUCUUCGCACCAUAACAUUCUACCGUAUCCUUCACGCCGCCGACAACCCAAGCUCGUGACCCCUGAAAUGAGAGUGAAUCUUGGAACCAGAAAUGGAAGGACCAGUCAAUCAAACAAGAGAUGCCCUUUGACCCAUGAUGUGGACGCAGGUGGGCUACAAUCUCAAGGCUCCACCCUCCCCUGCCCCGAGCCCCUUUUGACUCCCGUUUCGCAUUUCAUCAGAUGCCUCCUGUCUCUUGCAUUUUCCAAUUCGUUGGGAGGGAUGCGUGUCUAGAUCUUUAAGAAUCAGACCAUAAUUUCAUGCGUAAAGAUUUAACCGGAGUUGGAUCCUGUUCCUCUACAUUUGAGAGUUGGUUCUGGUGGACGAUUGAGAUCGAGCCAAGUCUUGUUAAUUCGUUUGAGAGUUGGUUCCGGUGCGUUUCUUCUGCGAAAAUUUGCAGUCCAAACUAGAUAGCACCUUUAACCUUUUGCUGGAAUAUGCCUCCUGUCUCUUGCAUUCUCCCACCUUUAACUAGUUAGCAUUCUUUUUGUGUACGGUUAGCAUCCUGUCCACAUUAGGGUCAAAGGGUAAUAUGGGAAUGGUUCUUAUUGAUACCAGUAGUACGAGCACGUUUUGCCCACGAACCGUCACGAUGAGUUCAUUCCGUCUAUUUGACAGUUUAACCCAAACCACAUAGAGUUUAUGUAUAGCUUUUUGAAUCAUGGGGGGGUUAUGUGGUUUUUGCGAAAAUCACAGGAGGCUAAAAUGUAAUUUGCCCUUUAGAUUGUCAUAAAACUUGGUGAUUACCUGGGUGGCUAUUUGGUUAUUAGAUUUCCUGGUGGAGUAGGCUUUUGUGCAAAUUUCAAUUAUUGACAUGUAUGUGUACUGGAACUUAUGCACUCCUUUCUGGUUUUAUUGAACAAAAGAAUUCUGAAAAAGGGAACAUUGAAUUAAAAAUCCAAAAGAAGCUCAUUACCUGAUUGAAGUCAAAAGAUGAGGAAGUGAAAUUAUGUAUCCUAAAUGGGGAAACAAUUAUUGCCAAUUGCAUGGUGCAUAAAUAGGGGUUAUUGGUUUCUUUUUUUGGGCCAGUGUCAAGUAAGUAACGCCGAAUGCUCACACUUGCUGCUUUGCAGAAAAAUGGAAAAAGAAAGCUGGGAAACAAAGAGAGAGUGUUGAAUAAUUUGAGCUCUGUCUUGAAUUUUAACUUUCACCAUUCCAGUUUCUGGAUCAAUCAUUUUAUUUGGUAUUUCUGCAUUCUUUUUGGUCUCCAUUAUCAUUUUUUUUUUUGCUGCUAUAAUUACAGAAAGGAUCUGUUUUAUAUAUUUCAAUCUUCUUUCUUGAUCAGCUGAUGGAUUUGGUGGACCUAAGCCACUAGUUUAAAUAAGUCUUUUAGGACGUGCAACUGCGUGCAUGCUUAAACCAAGUACCAAGCUGUUCAAGAUUGAUUGAAUAUUUUCUGCUCAUGCAUGCAGUCCCAAGAUUGAUCUUCUUCUAUUUUGACUUCUAAAGAACACAAAAUACUUGAGCUUCCCAAACUUUUGCUACAAUAUUGCAUUUACUUCUACAAUUUAGUAUUAUUCUUAGUGUCUCUUGGUGUUUUAGUUGAAUCACUGUGAGGUAUAAAAUCCUUCGAUUCAGCAUGCAAGACGCAUGUUUUAAUUCUAAUUUUGGAACUAUGAAUUUGUUUAGGUGAUGACGUUCGGCCCAAAUUUGCAUCUGGCUGAAUAGAUUUUGGCCUUUAAUGAGAUAGUGACUUGAUCACAUCAGUGUUGAUAUCUUUUAUAUUUGUUAUUCUUGUUCGAUUUUCUUCUUGUUCUUGUGGUGAUUUCCUUUCCCUUUAUUUCAAUAUUUGUCUUUUCAGAUUGGAGUAUUUGCAAGGUGAAGAUGCUGCAGGAUAUGCUUCAAACUAUUUUGGUACUUAGGUUGGAGACUAGUCAAUCAGUACCUAAUAAACGGAGGGCAAACCAAUAAGAUGUC
This 2368-nucleotide long non-coding RNA is filed under the name Coffea arabica (coffee). Its description in RNAcentral is "long non-coding RNA (CARA_LNC003157)". The record is from RNAcentral. Lineage: Eukaryota; Viridiplantae; Streptophyta; Magnoliopsida; Gentianales; Rubiaceae.